RNAcentral lists this ribosomal RNA (127 nucleotides) under Grigorovia transvaalensis. Its description in RNAcentral is "Kazachstania transvaalensis partial 26S rRNA". Lineage: Eukaryota; Fungi; Ascomycota; Saccharomycetes; Saccharomycetales; Saccharomycetaceae. The record is from RNAcentral.
GGCCAACAUCAGUUUUGGCGGCCGGAUNAAACCAUAGGAACGUAGCUUGCUUCGGUAAGUGUUAUAGCCUNUCNUNCGGCCAGCCGGGACUNAGGACUGCGACUUUUGUCAAGGAUGUUGGCAUAAU